GGCGUGUACCAUGGUGUACCAUCUACAUGCAGUUCCAAUCCAUCACAUAUUAACGAAUCUCAUAGUGCGGCAAGAAGAGAAUAAUAAUAUUGGCGACAGAAAAUACAGUUCAUCAAUCAUCAGGGCAGGGGAGAGCACAGAAUAAGACAGGCAAUUGCAUCAUAGAAGAAGAGGUGAUAGAUCUCACAGGAGAAUGACAAAUGGAGGGCAGAGAGAGAGGAGGGAGAGCAUGGAGGCGUAUGUGAGCAAGGGUGAAUGCACCAUCUUCGAUUCAGACCCCAUGUCUUGAUGGUGCUGAUGACGACGCCGAUUUCUCCUUCCCUCCUGCCUGCCUGCUUUUUUCUUUCUUUCUUUCUAUCUUUCUCGAUCGAUCUGUGAGCGAGGGCG
Long non-coding RNA from Andrographis paniculata, 387 nucleotides. RefSeq lists it as uncharacterized. The record is from RefSeq and is a predicted model, not a curated record. The transcript has 2 exons. NCBI's taxonomy places the organism in Eukaryota, Viridiplantae, Streptophyta, Magnoliopsida, Lamiales, Acanthaceae.